UACGGAGGAUGCGAGCGUUAUCCGGAUUUAUUGGGUUUAAAGGGUGCGUAGGCGGAUCGUUAAGUCAGUGGUCAAAUUGAGGGGCUCAACCCCUUCCCGCCAUUGAAACUGGCGAUCCUGAGUGGAAGAGAAGUAUGCGGAAUGCGUGGUGUAGCGGUGAAAUGCAUAGAUAUCACGCAGAACCCCGAUUGCGAAGGCAGCAUGCCGGCUUCCGACUGACGCUGAAGCACGAAAGCGUGGGGAUCGAACAGG
Molecule: ribosomal RNA, 252 nt
Filed under: uncultured bacterium
Lineage: Bacteria
Description: partial 16S ribosomal RNA
Rfam family: Bacterial small subunit ribosomal RNA
Source: RNAcentral